AACGAACGCUGGCGGCAUGCCUAACACAUGCAAGUCGAACGGGAUCCUAGCUUGCUAGGUGAGAGUGGCGGACGGGUGAGUAACACGUGGGAAUCUGCCUUUUUGGUUCGGGAUAACCGCGGGAAACUGCGGCUAAUACCGAAUGCCCUCGAGAGAGGAAAGAUUUAUCGCCAGAAGAGGAGCCCGCGUCCGAUUAGGUAGUUGGUGGGGUAAAGGCCUACCAAGCCGACGAUCGGUAGCUGGUCUGAGAGGAUGAUCAGCCACACUGGGACUGAGAUACGGCCCAGACUCCUACGGGAGGCAGCAGUGGGAAUAUUGGACAAGUGGGGCAACCCUGAUCCAGCAAUGCCGCGUGAGUGAUGAA
RNAcentral lists this ribosomal RNA (364 nucleotides) under uncultured bacterium. RNAcentral's name for it is "bacterial SSU rRNA". It matches the Rfam family "Bacterial small subunit ribosomal RNA", at positions 29 to 412 of the family's 1533-position model. The record is from RNAcentral.